GGCCUCCUGGUGCUUACCACAGACUGUGUUCUUGCACUGACUGUAUAGAAAAAGGAGGCAGAGUGAGCCUACCCCAUACACACCUCAGCCCAGGCCUUGUGCCUGGUCUGAAUUGUGAAUGGGGGACAUGG
RNAcentral lists this small nucleolar RNA (131 nucleotides) under Dasypus novemcinctus (nine-banded armadillo). RNAcentral's name for it is "Small nucleolar RNA SNORA51 (ENSDNOG00000034239.1)". It matches the Rfam family "Small nucleolar RNA SNORA51". From Rfam's summary of the family: ACA51 is a member of the H/ACA class of snoRNA that guide the sites of modification of uridines to pseudouridines. The record is from RNAcentral. Lineage: Eukaryota; Metazoa; Chordata; Mammalia; Cingulata; Dasypodidae.